This 73-nucleotide transfer RNA is filed under the name Methanobacteriota archaeon. RNAcentral describes it as "Euryarchaeota archaeon tRNA". It matches the Rfam family "tRNA". Rfam says of the family: Transfer RNA (tRNA) molecules are approximately 80 nucleotides in length. Their secondary structure includes four short double-helical elements and three loops (D, anti-codon, and T loops). Further hydrogen bonds mediate the characteristic L-shaped molecular structure. tRNAs have two regions of fundamental functional importance: the anti-codon, which is responsible for specific mRNA codon recognition, and the 3' end, to which the tRNAs corresponding amino acid is attached (by aminoacyl-tRNA synthetases). tRNAs cope with the degeneracy of the genetic code in two manners: having more than one tRNA (with a specific anti-codon) for a particular amino acid; and 'wobble' base-pairing, i.e. permitting non-standard base-pairing at the 3rd anti-codon position. The record is from Rfam by way of RNAcentral. Lineage: Archaea; Methanobacteriati; Methanobacteriota.
GUCUCCUUGGCGAAAUUGGGAUCGCGUUCGACUGAAGAUCGAAAGGUACCUGGGUCGAAACCGGGAGGAGACA